RNAcentral lists this ribosomal RNA (196 nucleotides) under uncultured Gammaproteobacteria bacterium. RNAcentral describes it as "partial 16S ribosomal RNA". It matches the Rfam family "Bacterial small subunit ribosomal RNA", at positions 338 to 525 of the family's 1533-position model. The record is from RNAcentral. Lineage: Bacteria; Pseudomonadati; Pseudomonadota; Gammaproteobacteria.
CCUACGGGUAGGCAGCAGUGGGGAAUAUUGCACAAUGGGCGCAAGCCUGAUGCAGCCAUGCCGCGUGUGUGAAGAAGGCCUUCGGGUUGUAAAGCACUUUCAGUCAGGAGGAAAGGUUAGUAGUUAAUACCUGCUAGCUGUGACGUUACUGACAGAAGAAGCACCGGCUAACUCCGUGCCAGCAGCCGCGGUAAUA